This 253-nucleotide ribosomal RNA is filed under the name uncultured bacterium. RNAcentral's name for it is "partial 16S ribosomal RNA". It matches the Rfam family "Bacterial small subunit ribosomal RNA", at positions 524 to 776 of the family's 1533-position model. The record is from RNAcentral.
UACAGAGGGGGCAAGCGUUGUUCGGAAUUACUGGGCGUAAAGGGCGCGUAGGCGGCCUGUUAAGUCGAACGUGAAAUCCCCGGGCUCAAUUUGGGAACUGCGUUUGAUACUGGUAGGCUUGAAUUCGGGAGAGGGAUGUGGAAUUUUAGGUGUAGCGGUGAAAUGCGUAGAUAUCUGGAGGAACACCGGUGGCGAAGGCGGCCUGCUGGGCAGUAGCUGACACUGAGGCGCGACAGCGUGGGGAGCAAACAGG